UAGGGUAUUGGCCUACCGUGGCAAUGACGGGUAACGGGGAAUUAGGGUUCGAUUCCGGAGAGGGAGCCUGAGAAACGGCUACCACAUCUAAGGAAGGCAGCAGGCGCGCAAAUUACCCAAUCCUAAUACAGGGAGGUAGUGACAAGAAAUAACAAUACAGGACUUUUUGGUUUUGUAAUUGGAAUGAGUUAAGUAUAAACCCCUUUACAAGUAUCAAUUGGAGGGCAAGUCUGGUGCCAGCAGCCGCGGUAAUUCCAGCUCCAAUAGCGUAUAUUAAAGUUGUUGCAGUUAAAAAGCUCGUAGUUGGAUUUCUGUUAAUAAUUUAUAUAAAAUAUUUUGAAUAUUUAUAUAACAUUAACAUAAUUCAUAUUACUAUAUUUUUUAGUAUAUGAAAUUUUACUUUGAGAAAAUUAGAGUGCUUAAAGCAGGCAUAUGCCUUGAAUACUCCAGCAUGGAAUAAUAUUAAAGAUUUUUAUCUUUCUUAUUGGUUCUAAGAUAAGAAUAAUGAUUAAUAGGGACAGUUGGGGGCAUUUGUAUUUAACAGUCAGAGGUGA
This 554-nucleotide ribosomal RNA is filed under the name Cryptosporidium parvum. RNAcentral describes it as "SSU rRNA". It matches the Rfam family "Eukaryotic small subunit ribosomal RNA", at positions 329 to 914 of the family's 1831-position model. Lineage: Eukaryota; Apicomplexa; Conoidasida; Eucoccidiorida; Cryptosporidiidae. The record is from RNAcentral.